UACAGGGGGUGCAAACGUUGCUCGGAAUCAUUGGGCGUAAAGCGCACGUAGGCGGUUCGUUAUGCUCGGAUGUGAAAGCCCUUGGCUUAACCGAGGAAGUGCAUCCGAAACUGGCGAGCUAGAGUACGAAAGAGGAUCGCGGAAUUCCCGGUGUAGAGGUGAAAUUCGUAGAUAUCGGGAGGAACACCAGUGGCGAAGGCGAUCACCUGGGGUUGUUCUGACGCUGAGGAGCGAAAGCUAGGGGAGCAAACGGG
This 254-nucleotide ribosomal RNA is filed under the name uncultured bacterium. RNAcentral describes it as "partial 16S ribosomal RNA". It matches the Rfam family "Bacterial small subunit ribosomal RNA", at positions 524 to 776 of the family's 1533-position model. The record is from RNAcentral.